RNAcentral lists this transfer RNA (72 nucleotides) under Bos taurus (domestic cattle). It matches the Rfam family "tRNA". From Rfam's summary of the family: Transfer RNA (tRNA) molecules are approximately 80 nucleotides in length. Their secondary structure includes four short double-helical elements and three loops (D, anti-codon, and T loops). The record is from Rfam by way of RNAcentral. RNAcentral also lists the same sequence under 5 other names. Lineage: Eukaryota; Metazoa; Chordata; Mammalia; Artiodactyla; Bovidae.
UCCCAGGUGGCUCAGAUGGUAAAGAAUCCACCUGCAAUGUGGGAGACCUGGGUCCAAUCCCUAGGUUGGGAA